This 73-nucleotide transfer RNA is filed under the name Nanobdellota archaeon. RNAcentral's name for it is "tRNA-Gln". It matches the Rfam family "tRNA". Rfam says of the family: Transfer RNA (tRNA) molecules are approximately 80 nucleotides in length. Their secondary structure includes four short double-helical elements and three loops (D, anti-codon, and T loops). Lineage: Archaea; Nanobdellati; Nanobdellota. RNAcentral also lists the same sequence under 1 other name. The record is from RNAcentral.
AGCCCCGUCGUCUAGUGGCCAAGGAUAUGGGCCUUUGGAGCCUGUGACGGCAGUUCGAAUCUGCCCGGGGCUA